GGCGCCGUACCCAAGCGGUAAGGGAGAAGCCUGCAAAGCUUUCAUUCGGCGGUUCGAUCCCGUCCGGCGCCU
Molecule: transfer RNA, 72 nt
Filed under: Termitinemataceae bacterium
Lineage: Bacteria; Pseudomonadati; Spirochaetota; Spirochaetia; Spirochaetales; Termitinemataceae
Description: tRNA-Cys
Rfam family: tRNA
About the family: Transfer RNA (tRNA) molecules are approximately 80 nucleotides in length. Their secondary structure includes four short double-helical elements and three loops (D, anti-codon, and T loops).
Source: RNAcentral